GAAUCUUGCGCAAUGGAGGAAACUCUGACGCAGCCACGCCGCGUGCCGGAAGACGGCCCUAUGGGUUGUAAACGGCUUUUAAAAGGGAAGAACGCCCGGGUUUCGACCUGGGGUGACGGUACCUUUUGAAUAAGCACCGGCUAACUCCGUGCCAGCAGCCGCGGUAAUACGGAGGGUGCAAGCGUUGUCCGGAAUCAUUGGGUGUAAAGGGUGCGUAGGUGGGAGCCUAAGUCUGUGGUGAAAUCUUGCCGCUUAACGGUAAAAUUGCCAUGGAUACUGGGUUUCUUGAGUACAGAAGAGGUCGGUGGAAUUCGUAGUGUAGCGGUGAAAUGCAUAGAUAUUACGAAGAACAUCAGUGGCGAAGGCGGCCGGCUGGACUGUAACUGACACUGAGGCACGAAAGCGUGGGGAGCGAACAGG
This 420-nucleotide ribosomal RNA is filed under the name uncultured bacterium. RNAcentral's name for it is "bacterial SSU rRNA". It matches the Rfam family "Bacterial small subunit ribosomal RNA", at positions 359 to 776 of the family's 1533-position model. The record is from RNAcentral.